AGUGUUUGGAGGCGGAGUCUAACAACAGGUGGCUAGGUCAUGAGGGCUCUGCCUCAUGAAUAAAUUAACGCCGUUAUCGCGGGAGUGGGUUUGUUAUAUCAGGAGUGGGCUCCUUAUGAAAGCAGUGGAGGAAGAAGAGAAUCACCACAUAUCGUAUUUAGAGGUCCUGCAGAAAGGGCAGAGCGAGUUUCAUGUUUGAGUGCAGCGGAUGCAUGGGCAAAGCAUUACACAGCCGCUCCAUGGAAGUGACAAUGAGCCUUGUCUUUCACACGUAACUCCAGGAACCAGGGGAAACAAAACCAAUUCCACCCAGAGGUACAGACAAAGAAGAGCACCCUCCCAAAGGAGCCCGCAUGAUAAGUGGCCACGGCGAACAUCACUGUGAUCAGUCAGAAAGGCAGGCGAGUUAUUAGCUUAGCCCUGAACCUCCUACUUAAUGUAGAACCAGUGGUGAUGGUUAACAGACCCUGGCUGCAGUGACAAGCCUGGGACCUGCUCGAGGAAAUCCAAUUGAAAAGCAGCCAAGAGGAACAACAAGCUAGAAACAGAUGUUCCAGCUACCAGGAUGUGCACGCAUUUAACCUGAACAUGUAGUUGGGGUGGGAUGGUAGCAUUCGUUUCUAAAUAUAGUGAUUUCACUUCUUCCCCCAUAUAGAUAUUGUCAAGUUUAAUUAUAGCCAUCCACAUUAGUUUUGUCAAAUUUUCAGCAAUUUCUUUAAAAUAAGAAGAUGUCAGAAUGAUAACUGCUAUUAAGGGAAUUCAGGGUGUUUGGUUUAUCUACCCAGUCUUACUAAAACAUUUCAGUUAAAUCAUCCACUCUUAAACUCCAGUCUCAUAGCAAUUAAAAAUUAUCUUUUAAAAAAUUGCCCAAAUGAAAUUCCAACAGUUCAUGUAAUUAUUUGAUUUAAUAUUACCAUGUUAGUAAAAUAUCUU
Molecule: long non-coding RNA, 933 nt
Filed under: Homo sapiens (human)
Lineage: Eukaryota; Metazoa; Chordata; Mammalia; Primates; Hominidae
Description: novel transcript, antisense to ZNF281
Source: RNAcentral